This 388-nucleotide long non-coding RNA is filed under the name Nicotiana benthamiana. RNAcentral's name for it is "long non-coding RNA (NBEN_LNC016838)". Lineage: Eukaryota; Viridiplantae; Streptophyta; Magnoliopsida; Solanales; Solanaceae. The record is from RNAcentral.
CUUAUUACUUCUCUUUUACUCGUUUUCAAAAGCUAUAAAUACCAUGUACUUCUCUUCUUUCAAGGACGAACACUUUUAGUUUUGAACACACACUUACACUCAAAAACUCUCUCUUGCUUUACUUCUACUUGUGCUACUGUCUGUAUAGCCGGCUAAAAGCCAAGGCUAGAUUUGAAGUCCUGCUUACUUUUCUUUAUUGCACUUUUCUUCUCUAACUGGUUUGUUCUAACUAAUUUUCAGCAUCAUCAACAACAUGUUUCUUUACUGUUCUUUCAUUAUUGUUUGUCUCUUGUUUGUAUUUGACUAAGUCCCAUUAUUAAAGCAUGCUGCAUUCUGCCAUUUUUAUGUUCUGAAUUAAUGUUUCUGUUACUUGCUUAUCACAGCUUGU